Long non-coding RNA from Rhagoletis pomonella (apple maggot), 830 nucleotides. RefSeq lists it as uncharacterized. NCBI's taxonomy places the organism in Eukaryota, Metazoa, Arthropoda, Insecta, Diptera, Tephritidae. The transcript is spliced from 3 exons. The record is from RefSeq and is a predicted model, not a curated record.
CCCGACUCAAGGAAGGGUAUGCAUGCUUAUGGUCUUGCUCUCGACGUCCAAGAUGGCAUCUUGGAUGGUAUGUCUAAAAUGGUGGAAGAAAUGAGGGUUAUUGGAAAACAAACUUUGUUACCCUUCCAAAAAGGAAUACUACAGUCCAACAAUGCCCUAAAGAUGCUGCAUGGGGAAUUGAAGUCGCUUCGACAUAAAGCAUGUCCUGACGUACAGGCUUAAUCAAGACGUCCUUGAAAAUUUCUUUGGCGUUAUUCGAAGCAAAGGAGGCCAACACGACCAUCCCGAUCGCCAGGAAUUUAAGUACAGGCUAAGGGCAUACAUACUUGGUUUUAACGAAGGUGUGUUAUCUGACAGCGCAAAUGUAUCGGUGGAUGACACUCCUGACCUUGAAGUGUCGGAUAAUUCCCUCACAGUAUAAUAUUUAAUGGCCUUUUGUUGCAACCAGAAAAUGAGAGCGAGCAAGUUGAAGAUGACGAACUGGAAUCUUUGGAGCACGAUGGCUUGGAGAAUCUCGCAGGUUAUAUCUGCCAUAAGCUGCACACUCAGAUUCCCAACAUCAGAGAGGGAGCGACAGGUGAGGAGGAUUUCACUUGGGUAAAUCACGUCACCGAAGGUGGCUUAUCGAAACCAACUCCAGAAAUGAUGGCGAACAUGAGGGCAUUGCAGAGAGUUUUCGAUGAGGUUAAUGAAGACGGUUUAUUCAUUGCCAGCAGUUAUCUGCAGACCCAUAUCUUAAAAGCGGAUCAUGUUCCAUGCGAUAUAAAAAUUAAAAAACUCUUCUUACGCGCACGUAUGUUUUUUAGAAUACGCACUUUAAAUAAAACAAU